RNAcentral lists this small RNA (588 nucleotides) under Pongo abelii (Sumatran orangutan). RNAcentral describes it as "processed transcript". Lineage: Eukaryota; Metazoa; Chordata; Mammalia; Primates; Hominidae. The record is from RNAcentral.
GCUUGUGCUCAGCUCCAGCUCACCGGCUGGCCACCGAGACCUCUGGACAGGGAACUGCACCAUCCUCUUCUCCCAGCAAGGGGGCUCCAGAGACUGCCCACCCAGGAAGUCUGGUGGCCUGGGGAUUUGACUCUGCGGUGGAGCUGUGGAAGCCAGGCGCACAGGAUGCAAGCAGCCAGGCCCAGGGAGGCAGCAGCUGCAUCCUCAGAGAGGAAGCCAGGAUGCCCCACUCUGCCGGGGGUACUGCAGGGGUGGGGCUGGAGGCUGCAGAGCCCACAGCCCUGCUCACCAGGGCAGAGCCCCCUUCAGAACCCACAGAGAUCCGUCCACUAAAGCGGAAAAAGGGGCCAGCCCCCAAAAUGCUGGGGAACGAGCUAUGCAGCGUGUGUGGGGACAAGGCCUCUGGCUUCCACUACAAUGUUCUGAGCUGCGAGGGCUGCAAGGGAUUCUUCCGCCGCAGCGUCAUCAAGGGAGCGCGCUACGUCUGCCACAGUGGCGGCCACUGCCCCAUGGAUACCUAUAUGCGUCGCAAGUGCCAGGAGUGUCGGCUUCGCAAAUGCCGCCAGGCUGGCAUGCGGGAGGAGUGUG